Molecule: long non-coding RNA, 814 nt
Filed under: Physcomitrium patens
Lineage: Eukaryota; Viridiplantae; Streptophyta; Bryopsida; Funariales; Funariaceae
Description: long non-coding RNA (PPAT_LNC013985)
Source: RNAcentral
AUUAAAUUUCAAUGAAAUCUUAAUGAAAUCAAUUUCAAAUCCUAAUCAAAUCUUAAUCAAAUUCUAAAUCCUAAUUCUAAAUCAAAUUCUAAUGAAAUCCUAAAUCCUAAUAAAAUCUUCAUCAAAUCUUAAUCAAAUUUUAGACAAAUAUUAAUCAAAUUCUAAUCAAAUCCUAAAUCUUAACUCUUAAUUAUAAACCAAUUUUAAUCAAUCUUUAAUCAAAUCUUAAAUCUUAAACAAUCUCUCAAUAAAUCCUACAGUAAAUUGAAAAUUCAAUAAUUAAUGCUUGAACUGUUGAUUUUGAUUCAAAAUUUGUAAAAUUUGCAACAACUAAGUUAGAAAAAAGUAAAACUAAUUUGAAGAAGAUUUCUCAUACUAAAUAGAUGAUAAUCCUUAAACUUUGCUUGGGUGUCAACUUGCAUCCUUCUCAAACCUUGUUAUUGAUAUUUCCAAACUAUAAUUUAUUAAUUUCAUUGUUCAAUUGAUUCCAAAUUUUGUAUAAUUCUUAAAAAUUAAAUCAAAUAUCUUUGGAAAAAAUUAUAUUUCAAUCCAAUUGGCGGAUUGAUGGAUAUCUUAGAAAUCCUCACCAAUCCUCUAAAUUCUAAUUUUCGAGACCAUAAUCUAUAAAAUUCUUAUGUUCUUUAAUUUAACUAUUUGAUUGACCUCAAAUUUCUUAUAUACAUUUAAAACAAGUAUAAAUACAAACUACCAAAUUUCACUUAUAAAUAUGCUACAAAAUUUCCAAAACCAUUAAAUUUGUAAAUAUUUUUCAAAAUCUAAAUUCAACAAAUACAUUAACAAGUUUAAAAAUCCC